AGGGAAUAUUGCAAAAUGGGCGAAAGCCCGAUGCAGCAACGCCGCGUGGGCGAUGAAGGCCUUCGGGUCGUAAAGCCCUUUUUGAGGGGAUGAGGAAGGACAGUACCCUCAGAAUAAGCCUCGGCUAACUACGUGCCAGCAGCCGCGGUAAAACGUAGGAGGCGAGCGUUAUCCGGAUUUACUGGGCGUAAAGCGCGUGCAGGCGGAUUGGAGAGUUGGAUGUGAAAGCUCCCGGCUUAACUGGGAGAGGUCGUUCAAUACUUCCAGUCUUGAGUGCAGUAGAGGGAAGUGGAAUUCCGGGUGUAGUGGUGAAAUGCGUAGAUAUCCGGAGGAACACCAGUGGCGAAAGCGGCUUCCUGGACUGUAACUGACGCUCAGGCGCGAAAGCUAGGGUAGC
Molecule: ribosomal RNA, 397 nt
Filed under: uncultured bacterium
Lineage: Bacteria
Description: bacterial SSU rRNA
Rfam family: Bacterial small subunit ribosomal RNA
Source: RNAcentral